RNAcentral lists this ribosomal RNA (297 nucleotides) under uncultured bacterium. RNAcentral describes it as "partial 16S ribosomal RNA". It matches the Rfam family "Bacterial small subunit ribosomal RNA", at positions 28 to 307 of the family's 1533-position model. The record is from RNAcentral.
GAUGAACGCUGGCGGCGUGCCUAACACAUGCAAGUCGAACGAAGCACAUUGGAUUGAUUCUUCGGAAGAAAGAGAAUGUGACUGAGUGGCGGACGGGUGAGUAACGCGUGGGUAACCUGCCUCAUACAGGGGGAUAACAGUUAGAAAUGACUGCUAAUACCGCAUAAGACCACGGAGUCGCAUGACUCAGUGGGAAAAACUCCGGUGGUAUGAGAUGGACCCGCGUCUGAUUAGGUAGUUGGUGGGGUAACGGCCUACCAAGCCGACGAUCAGUAGCCGACCUGAGAGGGUGACCGG